This is a long non-coding RNA of Magallana angulata, 10210 nucleotides long. RefSeq lists it as uncharacterized. NCBI's taxonomy places the organism in Eukaryota, Metazoa, Mollusca, Bivalvia, Ostreida, Ostreidae. The record is from RefSeq and is a predicted model, not a curated record. The transcript has 2 exons.
AAAGGGGGGGGGGGGGAACUCCAUGAUAAUUCAAUUUUUUUUUAUGUAAAUUUUAUAAAAAUAGUUGCUUCGAGAAAAAGUGAGGAGAAGACAUCUUUAUGUCAUAUAACAUGUGAAACUGAUUUCAUUCCACCCACAAGUUUGAAAUAAUGAAAUAAUUUUAAUGAAAACAAUAUAAAGAGACGUCAUAAAUCCCAUAUCAAACGCCAUAUAACCACUUGAUUCUGUGCGUCUUUUUAAUGAAUUUAGAAACAGGGGCAAAUUCUAAAAUGUAUUUUUAAAGGUAAUGUUAGCUGCAAGUCUGUAGACCUUGUAUGAAAAAUUUCGGAUGGUAGUCAAUUUUUCCGGGAUACAGACAGAGCGGUACAUGUAUGCAGCUAAGGUAACUAAGAAUGAUCCCAAUAAAAUACUUUGUUGAGUAAUGCAAGCUUUUAAGAAAGCAAUACUUAUAUUUGUUUAAAAUAUAACACCCAAAUACUUCGUCUUACAUUCGCUAUUUGUAGAACAAGCAAAACAGUACAUGUAUCAGUCUGACCGGCCUCACCAUAUACAUUGUUGGAAUGUUAUUGUCCUAGCAUUGCAAUGCUCUGCAUGUACACAAUUUCUUUUAAAAUUCAAUCACUUAAAGUGUUCAUCUAUAUGGCUACACAUAACGUACACACGUGAUUCAAAAUAACCCAGACGGAAAACGGUAAAGAAUUCAGCCAUUGAGUCUACGUUUUAUAGAACUUGUAAGAAAACACAAUGCGGGUCUGAAUGUUUGUUGAUAUGUCAAUCUAUCAAUGUACAGUUUGUUAAUUAUUUUCGAUUGCUAAGGCUACAGCGUAUUUGAUGAACAUUGAACAACAUUUUUUCCAUGCCACUUUUUUCCAUGGAAGAUAGCGAAUACAAGUAUAAAGCAUUUAUAAAAUUUAUUUAAUUACCUCUUUAGAAUUGUGUAUGGAAUAAAUAAUUUAUAAGUUGCUGCUGAAGGUUGUUUGGUAUUUUCGUUUGUAGAUGCUUUGCAAGUAAAAAACCUGAAACGCGGGGCAAGUCAUAACUAAUAUCCCUAAUAACCGUAACUUAAAACUAGCGGCUUUGGAUUCAAAUAUUAUCGUAUACGAAUAUUAAGUUCACUUUUUAAAAUCAUCUCCACGAUGAUAAUUAUAUUAUAUCCAUCGCAAAUCAGUAUUUUUUUUUGCUUUAAAAGAAUUGUUCUAUCGGGAGCAAUCCCGCGUUCGUUUAAAUUGUCAUGUCAGUAAUACACAUUGUGCUUUAUAUGACGGCCGUGUAUAGGUAUUGUAGAAAAGUUGAAUUUAAUUACCAUGCAUUGGAACCAUUUUAUUAACACAUCUCCCAGUACUGAAACAAUUCAAAAUGUCUCUGUUACAGUAACACAGUGGGGCGUUAAUCGUGUACGUCCAGCUCUACAAGCACAUGCACUGUCGUCUAGGCGACGGCCUGAAUACAGCUAGCGACUCUCCUAUCGAUCGGUUACCAGGGGCACAGUUAUGAAACAAACAACAAAAAUAAGGUCAAAGAGGUUUAUCUAUAUGAAAUGAAAAUGUACAUAUGUAUAAAAACAUUUGGGAAUUUUAUGUGGAAUUAUUUUUGCGCGCUACAUGUAUCAGUUAGUGCAUUACAAGAAGCCCUUUCAUAACCUCAUAAACGUGCGCACCCCCACAAAAAUGGACCGAACUGACAACAAUUGUUUCUGCAAAUACUGACUAUAAAUUACGAAAACAUUAAAUUGAAUACUAUAGAAGGAUUCAAAAUUAUUUUCUUUACAACUUUGCUUCAAUAAUGCAUUAGAAAUAUUUAUUCCUUUUUAAGUUAUUGACAAGAAACUUUGGACGCCUCUAACUCCCUAAUUAUAAGGGCCAGCCCCUUUUUCGGUAUACCGAAUGAAAGGUCUGGGCAAGACCAAGAACUUUUAAAAUACAUGUUAUAACAAAUUUUUAUCAGGUAGAAAACUAACACGGAAAAUACGCGAAUUUUUUUGAUUUUUUUUUCUUACCUUUGUUUCAACAUCUAUACCACCCCUUUUAUUUGCAUUUAAAUAAUAAAUAAAAUAUAUCUCGCACAAAUUCAAUGUAUUAGCUUCCAAACCAGCCCAUCUUUGAGACUCUGCCAGUCAUCGUUAAAGCUAAACCCCCUGGACAAAAGAAGUCGUUAAAUUUUACUAAAAGGGGAAUAACUCAAAACCGGAUAGGGAUUUUCCUCAACUUAAAUAUGCAACGACAACAUCACGCGGCAUGUUAUCAGUCCUGAAAAUUUCAAAACAAUCGGUGAACAAACGAGCGAGAUAUUAAGGAUCAAAGUUAGCGUCUAGAAGAAAAAAAAAAUAACUAGAGCAAAGCUCGUUGCAAAGCAACGAGUGGGUUUUUCGCUAAUGUCGAAAGCAACGCUAGAAGUACGUCUAAGAAGCAGAGUUCUUUAUCUAGUAACAAAGAAACCUAAGUACAAAAAGAUAAAAAAAAUUGAAUGAUUCUUGGUACAACUUAACAUAAUCCGAAUGUUUUUAAGUACGACUUAACCAAAAACCCUUAACCAUUUCAAGAACGACUUAACAAAAAAAACCAAUGUGUUUAAGUACGACUAAACAAAUUUGACUUCAUUUUAGGUACAAGUUUACUUUACCUUGAACUAACAUCUUUUUUCUUAACCCAGAAUGCAAAAUUAAAAUUUACGUAAAAAAUCAAUUUUGUUUAAAACAUAAUUCUGAGCAACUUUUUCUCUUCACUGCUUUUCAAAGGGUUGACCUUUCGUACUGUGUGCUCGUUGCGUCAUUAAUUGUCAGAAACUUAUCGAUGUUAAGUUUACUGUACCUCUGUGAAUAUUUUCUAUGUAAAAUUACUAUGAACCAGACAACAUUGAAAUGGUGAACAUUUCAAAGGGCCCCGCUUAUGUAAUUUCAGAGAAUUCUGCUUUGACCUUGAGCUAUAACUUGAAAUUUUUCCAGCUGGCAUAGAACUUUUAAUUCAAUUUCAUUCCUCCUAACAUACAUGCAUUUUUGUUCAAUCUGACCAAGAUUAAGCAUAUUUGGAAAAUAAUCUACUGUCUAAAACUAAUUUUAAAAAGAUCUGCUAUGACCUUCCAGGGCUCUACAUUAACUUUUUUUCCUACUUGUCCAUUCGGACAAGUGACCAAAACAUUUACUUGUCCGAACUUCAACUUCACCUGUCCGAAAAAUUUUCAAUAUUAAAGAUCAAAUAUUGUCAACUUGAGAACUACAGUACUCUAUUACUAAAAUAGUAUCAUUUAUUGAUUAAUACUCUAGCUAUAAUUAAUAACCUGACUUUUUAAAUGGAAACUUAAAGUGUCUUUCCUAUAAUUAUGUACAUGUAUUUGUUCUAUAUAACAUUAAACAUGAUUUGUCAGCUGUAGCUUUGUCAUGGCAAAUUACAAGACAUCUUAAAUUUAGCAUCAGGUUUAAAAAUACAUGUAACUGUUAUAUUGAUUUCUCAGCUGUUUUUUAAACUAAACAUGGAAUGUCAUCAUAGUCUAUCAAUGAUGAAUGAAACCUAAAAUAAAUUACAUUUCUUUCCAUAAUCCUUUAUCUUUGCUACCUUUUCUUCCUUUCUUUUUCUUAACAUAUGUGUUUGGUACUUUGUAAAAACUAAGAUCCACACCUUGAAAGUUGUUUGAAAUUAGUGAACUUCAAUCCCGAUCAAGAGUAACUCAAUUGCAUUGCAAUUUGAUGUCGGGAUCGAAAUUCAAAAUAACUAAUCGAUAAACUUAUAACGAGACUACAGAUAAACUUAUCACAAAACUUUCUUUUCUUUUUUAAAUGUUGGAGACUUCUUACUAUAAAAAAUGCACUUGUCCAGUCAGACAAGUGGCCAGCAAUAUUCACUUGUCCGCAUAUUUUUUUAACUGGUACCGGACAAGCGGACAAGCGUUAAUGUCGAGCCCUGCCUUCACAUUGACAGACUUGGUUCAAGGUCACUGCACGCCAUUAACCAAUAAACUCUGUAAAGGUAAAAUAUUAGCCAAAUUGGGGCUAAAAGGAGAGUAUAUCUAUGCUCUUAAAAUAUGGAUUUUUGUGUGAUCUGAUAUGACCUUGACUCUUCAUCUACAAAUAUCAUUCGAGGUCAUUGCAUAUAUUUUGAUCAAAGGCAUCAUGUGGGUGAAGUAUGAGGCUGAAUGGAGCAAAGGGAGAGAAGAUAUACUCCGGACAAGGAUUUUUAAAAAUAUAAUUCUGCUAUGACCUUCACAGUUUCUUUUCACUGAAAAUAGGUUCAAGGUCACUACACACCCUUUCACCCUUUACUCAAACGCUCUGCUUAUGUGAAGUCUGAGCCAAAUAAGGGUUAGUAGAAAUUAUAUAUGCUCUCAAAAAAGGAUUUUUGCAUGAUCCGAUAUGAUCUUCACCCUUUACCUAGAAAUUUCAUGCAAGGUCACUGCACAUCGUUUAACCAUAGAGACACUCUGUGAGUAUUAGCCAGAUUGGACCAAAGGGAAAAAAGAUAUGCCCCAGACAAGGAUUUUAUAUAUAUAAUUCUGCUAUGACCUUAACCUUAUACCUAAAAACAUGGUUCAAGGUCACUGCACAUCCUUCAACCAAAGGAACCCUGUGGAUGAGAUAUGAGCCAGAUUGGGCCAAGGGGAGAGAAGCUAUGCUCCUGUCAAGCCAUCUCGGAUGGACAGACGGACAAAUUGAUCACUAGAAGGCGCCCGCAUAAACAUGCCUUUUAUCUAAUUUAAAAUAGUAUCCAUGCUAUCUGCCCAUGGUGAAUAGUCAUCAAUAUUUACAAUAUUUAACCAAAAAAUAGCUUUUAAAAAUAUUUGAAAAGGUAAAAAUUGUAAAAACCCCAGCGGGAUUCGAACUCAUGACUUACAGGUUCCUAGUAACCCUCUAACCCACUGUGCUAAGGAGUUAUGUGACCAUUUUUGAAAAGAAACUACAUGUACUUAUAUAAUUACACUUUAUUUUAUUGUUUAUUUCGAUAAACAAUACGUCACAACAUGGAAGUGUCCCAUAUCACCUUAAACUCGGAACACCUCUGACCUAAUAAGAUCGCAUCAUUAAAUACAAAGUUUGAUUUAACUCUAAUUUGUUUAUCAUCAAGAAAUUGUGCAUCGCUGACAAAUAAAGUUUUCUUCUGUAUAAUGAAAUACCAAUUAACUGACUAUUCGGACAAUAGCAAGUUUAUUGUCCCACUCCACAGCAACUAUUUCCCCUGGCUUUGCCUCAUUAAAUAGUUGCUGUCUUUGGGUACAAUAAACUUGCUAUUGUCCUCAUACCCAGUAAAUACUAAAUAGGCAUAUAAUAUCCCAUCCACCUACAUUUCAUGUUAUAUAACCUCCCGUUUGUAACCUUCAAUUUCACUGUAAAGUCAACAUAUCUGUCAUAGCCGCAAGUUUCACAAUUUAUUUCUGCUUCUCAUGUACUUAAAAUCAGGGGCCUUAAUAUUGCUUACCAAUUCCAACAAGUGACAUCCCUCUAACUAUUGAUAAUCAUUAAAUUUCAUUUCAUGAAUCUACGCAACAAUGAUAAACCUUCAAGUACAGUCACUCUCAAUUUUACAAAAAUAUUGACGGUACUUUAUCCGAAACUGUUCCUUGUACCUUUAACUUAGUACACUAACAUUUUUAUGAAAAGACUAAGAAAGCUAAUGCAAUUCUGAGAAAAAGAAUACCACAUAUUGCCAAUUCCAUUGAGGUUUAAUAAAAAUAUGGCCAUUUAAGUGAACCCACCAUUUCCAAUUUCCUUUAGUAAACACAGAUUUACAGGGUUCUCCAUAGUAAAACAUCUUUACCUGACCUUUUAGAGGUCAACUUUUGUUCAACCACCUUUAAAAAGAAACCUUAUUCAAUACAACAUACCCCUACAUGAUAUAAUCAUGAUAAAAGCUUCACAUCACUUAGAAAUACCCUUACAUGUAUACCCCCCACCCCCCAAUCUUUUGAUUUUCAUAAAAAGUCAUGGUUUGAAAUGUUUUACCUAAUUUUAUGAAACGUGUGGCAAUUUCCUUGAGUAAUUUCUCACACAUAUGAAAACAAUCAUCAAUGAUUCUAAAAUUUGAUCUUUAUUUGUUUAUUGUAUGAUUUGUACCAUUUUAAUUAACAGAUAGACAGCUGUCCUGCUUGUGAUUUCUUGUUUUCAUGAAAAAAGUAAGCUAACAAUCAUAUUUAGUGAAUAUCUAAUCUAUUCUGAUUUCUAGUCUCCUUCUAACCAUGCUAAAACAGUAAGUUACAACCUACAAGUUAGACAUCUGCCUUAAAUUAAAAUUAAAUUCAAACACACCCAGGUAGCUGGAGACAGAUCGAGUUGAUUUCAAUGAAAAAUUUUCAAAUUUGACAUGUUUUUCUACUUUUUUUUAUGCAUAUAUACCUUAGAAAGGUAGAAAUAGGUUGUUUCUUGUUCAUUUCAAAAGUAAUUAUCAUAGCAGAUGUUAUUUCAAAGUCAAAUGUACAUUUACAUAUCCUACAUGUAAUCUUAAUGCAGACAAUUAAAUAGAGGGGGGGGGGGGAUUUUUCAAUUAUGUAAACACAUCUAAAUAUCUUUAUGAAAUAAAAAAUAAAGGAAACAUAAUUGCAUACUUUUAUUGAAAAACAAAUUUUCACAGCAAUUAUGAAUUUCUUUAUAAACAGCCUUAAUUUUGUUUUCAUAAUUUCUUAUCAAACACAAACCACAACAUGGCAUGAUGCUUUCUUCAAGUUCCAUUAUUGUUUAUGCAUUAUCGGAUUUAAUUUGAAUUACCGGUAAAUAGUCUGUAGAACACAAAGGAAUAUGCAUGUGGAUAGAGGUGACAGGUUAAUCUCAGGAGCUGACCCACAAGAAUCAACAGGUACCGGUAAAAGCCAUGUGGUAACAAGAGUCUGUUUUGAGAUGAAAUAAAAAAAAAAAAUAAUUAGCUGCGUUUACAUACAUGUACUAGUAAUAGCUGUGUUUACAUUAACAUAUGCAUAGUAUUUCUGGAAAAAAUACACUGACCAUGCAGUGUAAUAGGUCCCUUACCAAAGUAAAAUUAUUGCUGCAACAAUGCCGCAAUAUUGCGGCAAUAUUGCAGCAACACAUUUUUGUUACCAGAAACCAGAUUUUGAGACUAGUGAAAUGUUGCCGCUAGCUGCAACAACUUCUGGUAACAUUUUGGCAAUACUGCUGGAGUGUUGCCGCUAGCGGCAAUAACUUCUGGCAACAUUCUGGCAAUACUAUUAGAGUUAUUUCUGUUAAAAAUUAUUGCCACUAGCUGCAACGACUUCUGGUAAUAUUCUGGCUACACUCAGUAUCAUACUGCCAGAAAUAAUUUUCUGGUAACAUCUACAUGUAUUUGAUCAUUUAAAUCAUGAACUAAUUUAUAUACAUAUAAUAUACAUGUAUAUAAUUCGAUCUGGCAAUACUGCUAGGCAUCAUAUUUGAUUUCUGCUUUAAUUAUAAUUUAAGGAGAAGCCGAGCAGUGGAGGGAGGUUAAAAAAUUGUAAAUUAUUUAGAUAUGAUUUCAGUUAUAACACCUCGAAAUUUGCCAGAAGUUUACCACAAACUUUUCUUUUUCCUCUGAUGUAUUAUGCUUACCGAGCUUGCAAAAGCUUUAGCAGAAUUUGGACCUAUAAAAUUUUACACAUUCAGCACAAGUCUUAAACUGUCAAUUAUAAUUGCAUGGUUACGAUGUUUCACUAUAUAGAAGACUGUUUGAAUCACACCCUCCCCCCUCAACUCAUGUUUUACGUGAAUACCGACCUGUCUGUUCUUUUGUAACGGUAUAUUCUUUUUUAUUAAGUUAAAAUACCAGUCUACUUAGAUUUGAGUAUCCAAACUGCUCGAUGCAUGUUGAAUUAAGAAUUUUCGUAUGCUGUUUGUUUCCACUUUUACUUUCGUUUCAAUGUUAAGUUACGCGCGCGCUGAUUGGUCGAUCAAAUCGCUAGCCGCCAAUUUUCACAUUCGAAGCUGCCAUGUUGUCUGCCAUCGAACCUCCUGCCAUCACUGGAGAUGGUGAAAUGAAUGAAAUACGGGAAUUAUCUGUAAACAAGGUUAAAAAAUACACUGUCAAUGGAGUGUUUAUCUGUAAAAAAAAAAUCAACGGCUGAACUGAGGACGAAUCUGAGUGAACGAAUCGAGUGUUGACAUCCCCUGCACCAUCUGCAUGAGCACGUUUUUGAAAAAUAGGUCUGCCCUGGGUUACACAGACCUGAAGAAAACCAUGAAAAAAGCUGUCACUUUACUGAUUAAAUGAAUGAUGGAACUGGCAACCAAAAAAGAAUGAUGACGUAAUUUGUUUAAGAUUAUGGAGAGGAACAUAUACACAACAGUGCUGAAUUCCAAUGUGGAUAUUGUUGUGAAUUCCAAUGUGGAUAUUGUUGUGAUAUUCUGAUAGCUGUUUUUGUGAUUGUUUAUGUGUGAAAUCAGAAUGCCCACGAGGCUGUCAAAAAAAGGACUUUUGGAAUACCUAGGACGAAUGCCUUGAUCAGUCGUAAUACAGCAAGUGGUUGUGCAGGACUUGUGAACUAUAUGGUUUGAGCUUUGCUUACGGUAAACAGUAAACUUUUGUCCAUAUCCGUCUGUGCGCGUUGUGUCAAUCCAUCUGUGCGCGUUGUGUCAAUCAAACUACAGUACAUGUUAUUCUGCAGCAAUAAAUUGUCACUGAUUGGCUGAGUACUUUUAGUCAAGUUUCAUCAUGAUUUGUUCAUCAUAUUUGUGUUUAUUGUAUUUAUGUGUUAAAUUUAAAGAUUAUUAAUUUUAACUGGCGUCCUUUAUAAGCAUGUUGAAAUUCCAGUUUCAGGUCUCUAAUAUUAUACAUUAUAUUUUUAAUUCAAUACUUAUUUUGUGCAUGUUACAUUGAAUGAUAUAAUUUUUUUACUUCUGUAAUAUUGUGUAAUCACAAACUGUUUUUUAUUUUUGAAAGAAUGCGAAUUGCCGAAAUGUUAGUCUUGUUGUAACCUUUUUGCAUCUUUAAAAAAAUAAAACUGUAAUGGCAAUUAAAGAUUUUUUUUCAUUUUGGUUGUAGAUUAAUAUAAUAUACAUGACUGCUUUACUGUAUACAUUUAUUAUUUAUAAAUAUUGCAUAUAUUGUACCAUUCAUGCCAGAGCACAGAAAAUGCAUUGAACCAAUAUUUCUGCAAUGUCAUUUUUCUUAUGCAAAUAUAUUGCCUGAAAGGUGUUGCAGCAAAACUUUUGCGGCAACAUCUUUCUGGCAAUAUUGCCGCAAUCUCAUUUGCAUACGAAAAACGCUACUGCAGCAACAUUGCCGCAAUGUAUUGCCAGAAAGGUGUUGUCGCAACAAUAUGUUGCAGCAAAACUUUUGCGGCAACAUCUUUCUGGCAAUAUUGCCGCAAUCUCAUUUGCAUACGAAAAACGCUACUGCAGCAACAUUGCCGCAAUGUAUUGCCAGAAAGAUGUUGUCGCAACAAUAUGUUGCAGCAAAACUUUUGCGGCAACAUCUUUCUGGCAAUAUUGCCGCAAUCUCAUUUGCAUACGAAAAACGCUACUGCAGCAACAUUGCCGCAAUGUAUUGCCAGAAUGUUGCUGCAGUAUUGCUGCAAUAAUGCCAGAAUGUGUUGCCAGAAGGUCCAUAUUUUGGUAAGGGGUAUGACAUAUCCCAAUACAUGACAUAACAUUUAGGCAGUACAAGAUCAAAAAUUUGCAUAUCAAGUCAUAAUAUUAAAAAAUUUUCAUAGGUAUAAACACUUAUCAAAUUGAGAGAGAGAGAGUUUGAGAGAGAGAGAGAGUUUAUUACCGUACUUGUAGUGCAACAGUCAAUAUUUCAAUUCGUAAAUUACAAACGAAUAUUACCCACCGAACAGCGUCAAAGUACAUGUACUGGUAUUAGCUUCUGGUAUACCAUUUUUUAUCAAUUCUACUGUGUUUUUUUUUUUGCAAAUAAAUUUAGCAAGGGUUUUUGCUUAUUUUCUUAUAAAUUACAUGUUUUAAAAACAAUACUAUGUGUAAUAAGCAUAAAACAUGUAUGAGUAAACUUAAUGAAGAAUUUUUAAUAGAUUAUUUUUCACAGAAUGUGGUACAUUACAUGUAUGUCAAUCUUUAUAAAACUAGCGUAUAUUUCGUGCGCCAUAAAUUGCAAGUUUUUUGUAAAUAUCAUUUACUUGCAUGAUAGGUAUAUAUGGUCUAACCAAAAUUUUCUUCACAAAGCUACAGCUGUAUGUACCACAUAUAUGUUUUGUCACAAGUAUACAUUUAAAAAAAAACAACCCCAAAUUCCAACAGUUGAAAUAAACUCAACUCAUUCUCUGAUAAGUUCAUUGUGUUUUGUGCGUGCAUAUCUUAUUUGUCUGC